CGUCUUAAGGCCAUUGGAGAGCAAUUCAGAUACAGAAACCGUUGAAAUCACAGUAACAAAGUUGCUAUUUAAAUCAUACUAUGAGAUUGUCAGAAAGAAUGUUGAAGAUCUUGUCCCCAAAGCAAUUAUGCACUUCCUGAAGUGAUAUCAAAAUGGUUGGAAAUUGAAGUGAUUGAUGAAGUUUCAGAUUAGUUAGGACCACAUAAGCAGAAAAUGUCAUGUUGUCUCCGCUACUUUAAGUUUUUGGGUAUAGAUGAGUGUCAAGCCUCCAUCGUGGUUUGUUUCACAAAAGCUCCUUGUUUUUGGAUGUUCUCUCACUAGCUAAUGAUAAUGAUAUUACGAGAUAUUUUCUAGAU
Non-coding RNA from Vigna umbellata (rice bean), 356 nucleotides. The record is from RefSeq and is a predicted model, not a curated record. NCBI's taxonomy places the organism in Eukaryota, Viridiplantae, Streptophyta, Magnoliopsida, Fabales, Fabaceae.